UGUGAAGAGGGUGAGAAUCACAGUGCGGUUCUCCUCUGGCACGAAGGCUGGCCAGAGCAGCUUAUAUUGCCACCACCCUUCCUUGCCAAAGGAGAAUUGCCCUGCCAUUCACAACCCUGCAAU
RNAcentral lists this microRNA precursor (123 nucleotides) under Zea mays. RNAcentral describes it as "miR399a stem-loop (zma-MIR399a)". Its record names the gene zma-MIR399a. The stretch from base 11 to 114 matches the Rfam family "mir-399 microRNA precursor family". From Rfam's summary of the family: mir-399 was identified in both Arabidopsis thaliana and Oryza sativa computationally and was later experimentally verified. mir-399 is thought to target mRNAs coding for a phosphatase transporter. The mature sequence is excised from the 3' arm of the hairpin. The record is from miRBase by way of RNAcentral. Lineage: Eukaryota; Viridiplantae; Streptophyta; Magnoliopsida; Poales; Poaceae.